UCUGACAAGAAAAAGCCCAAAUCUUCAUCUAAGGAUGAAAGUCCCACUGCCCAUAAUACUGGUUUUGCUGCUGCAGCUUGUAGACAAACCCAAGUCAAGGAUGGAGUCAAGAAGAAGGACUCAUUCAANAAGUGCUGCUCAAUCGCCUGGGAGAUUGGGUUUGUCUAGUUCUGGGUCUAAGAAGCCUGCAUCUGCGACGGCGGCUGAUGGGAAGAACGCCGCCGCUUCAGUGUCUCC
RNAcentral lists this unclassified non-coding RNA (237 nucleotides) under Hevea brasiliensis (rubber tree). Lineage: Eukaryota; Viridiplantae; Streptophyta; Magnoliopsida; Malpighiales; Euphorbiaceae. The record is from RNAcentral.